GACGAACGCUGGCGGCGUGCUUUACACAUGCAAGUCGAACGGUGAAGGUGGAGCUUGCUCCGCCGGAUCAGUGGCGAACGGGUGAGUAACACGUGGGCAACCUGCCCCUAACUUUGGGAUAACUACUCGAAAGAGUAGCUAAUACCGGAUACGAAGUCUGUAGGCAUCUACGGAUUUGGAAAGUUUUUCGGUUAGGGAUGGGCCCGCGGCCUAUCAGCUUGUUGGUGAGGUAGUGGCUCACCAAGGCGACGACGGGUAGCCGGCCUGAGAGGGCGACAGGCCACACUGGGACUGAGACACGGCCCAGACCCCUACGGGAGGCAGCAGUGGGGAAUAUUGCGCAAUGGGCGAAAGCCUGACGCAGCAACGCCGCGUGCGGGAUGAAGGCCUUCGGGUUGUAAACCGCUUUCAGCAGGGAAGAAGCGAAAGUGACGGUACCUGCAGAAGAAGCACCGGCUAACUACGUGCCAGCAGCCGCCGCCG
Molecule: ribosomal RNA, 483 nt
Filed under: uncultured bacterium
Lineage: Bacteria
Description: partial 16S ribosomal RNA
Rfam family: Bacterial small subunit ribosomal RNA
Source: RNAcentral